AAAUUGUCAUUUUUAUAUCUCAAAGUUUUCAAAUGUCAAUAUAAAAAGUGUUAAAUUAGGAAUCUAAGUUUCUCAUCCCUCUAUUUAUCCUGGCACCUUCCUUCUGCCCAGUGCAUACACACAUAUCCUGAACUCUAGUCUUACCAAACUAGUAUUUCCAAUUUCUAUUUUGCAAAAAACUGUGAUAUAUAAAAAUGC
Vicugna pacos (alpaca) is the source of this 198-nucleotide non-coding RNA. The record is from RefSeq and is a predicted model, not a curated record. Lineage: Eukaryota; Metazoa; Chordata; Mammalia; Artiodactyla; Camelidae.